GGUACAGAGGGCUGCGAUACCGUGAGGUGGAGCGAAUCCCUUAAAGCCGGUCUCAGUUCGGAUCGGUGUCUGCAACUCGACACCGUGAAGUUGGAGUCGCUAGUAAUCGCAGAUCAGCAACGCUGCGGUGAAUACGUUCUCGGGCCUUGUACACACCGCCCGUCACGUCAUGAAAGUCGGCAACACCCGAAGCCCGUGGCCUUACGGGGAGCGGUCGAAGGUGGGGCUGGUGAUUGGGACGAAGUCGUAACAAGGUAGCCGUACCGGAAGGUGCGGCUGGAUCACCUCCUUUCUAAGGA
This 299-nucleotide ribosomal RNA is filed under the name Actinomyces oris. RNAcentral describes it as "partial 16S ribosomal RNA". It matches the Rfam family "Bacterial small subunit ribosomal RNA", at positions 1236 to 1533 of the family's 1533-position model. The record is from RNAcentral. Lineage: Bacteria; Bacillati; Actinomycetota; Actinomycetes; Actinomycetales; Actinomycetaceae.